RNAcentral lists this ribosomal RNA (407 nucleotides) under uncultured bacterium. RNAcentral describes it as "partial 16S ribosomal RNA". It matches the Rfam family "Bacterial small subunit ribosomal RNA", at positions 30 to 526 of the family's 1533-position model. The record is from RNAcentral.
AUUGAACGCUGGCGGCAGGCCUAACACAUGCAAGUCGAGCGGAGCGGCGGACGGGUGAGUAAUGCAUAGGAAUCUGCCUGGUAGUGGGGGAUAACGUCCGGAAACGGGCGCUAAUACCGCAUACUAUCAGAUGAGCCUAGGUCGGAUUAGCUAGGUGGGGGGGUAAAGGCCUCACACGGCGACGAUCCUGAACGGGUCUGAGAGGAUGAUCAGUCAAACGGGAACUGAGACAAGGUCCAGACUCCUAAGGGAGGCACCAGUGGGGACUAUUGGACAAUGGGCGAAAGCCUGAUCCAGCCAUGCCGCGUGUGUGAAGAAGGUCUUCGGAUUGUAAAGCACUUUAAGUUGGGAGGCGUUACCAACAGAAUAAGCACCGGCUAACUUCGUGCCAGCAGCCGCGGUAAUUC